Molecule: long non-coding RNA, 210 nt
Filed under: Bos taurus (domestic cattle)
Lineage: Eukaryota; Metazoa; Chordata; Mammalia; Artiodactyla; Bovidae
Description: long non-coding RNA NONBTAT013870
Source: RNAcentral
GAAAUAGACCUUUAACACAUAACUGGGUUUUACUGCAGUUUGGUGAAUCUUAAACAAAAUACAGAGUUUUAGGCUUGGAUGUCUUGUCAAGUAUUUGUCAAUGAGAAGCAUUUUGACAUUUGGGAACUGGGUAUCUUAAAAAGUGCUUUGUUAACAUCUUUUUAUGCUUCUACUCUGCUACUCAUACUCUCAAAGAGAAAUAAUGGAAGA